RNAcentral lists this long non-coding RNA (562 nucleotides) under Equus caballus (horse). RNAcentral's name for it is "lncRNA (ENSECAG00000040742.2)". Lineage: Eukaryota; Metazoa; Chordata; Mammalia; Perissodactyla; Equidae. The record is from RNAcentral.
GGGUGUGGCAGACCCCUGGGCUAACAGGCCAAGGAAAGAACCUCAAUGGCGCCCACCUGGGUCCAUGCUAGCACACUUGGCCCAGGUCAGAACGAUGAUCCCCACCAAUGUCUCAGUCCCUGGAGAAGCCUCCCCUCUCACCAAGAUGCCACCAGAGCCCAAUAGAGGGUGUGCUCUCUCAGAGAGCAGAAGCCAAGUCUAAGCUGUGUCUGGACAACGCCUAGUAGUGUCCCAGCAGAUUCUUUGGGAACACGACAUCUGCGUUUUUCCAAGCCCUUACCUACAGAAAGGCGCCUAUUUUCCGUUACGGUAGAUCUGGCCUGAACUUCACUGCCUUGCAAGGGCGGGGUGGGCCAGGGCUGGCCAGGAUAUCUGCCAACAAGAGACACCUGGGCGCCGUAGUUGCUGGAGAAGCCCCUGGGACCCCAGGACGCAGCAAAUCCAAACUGGAACUGACUGUCGCCAAUUUUCCGACGCUGCCUCAGAGUGUUUUGAGGGGUGGGCUCCCUCCACCCAAGAAGAUGUGCAGGUGGUUGGGGCCAGGCCACAACUCCACAAGGUC